UCCGAGUUGACCCCGGCAGUCUCCUAUGAGUCCCCGCCAUAACGCGCUGGCAACAUAGAACGAGGGUUGCGCUCGUUGCGGGACUUAACCCAACAUCUCACGACACGAGCUGACGACAACCAUGCACCACCUGUACACCGCCCUUGCGGACCCACCAUCUCUGGAGGAUUUCCGUGCAUGUCAAGCCUAGGUAAGGUUCUUCGCGUUGCAUCGAAUUAAGCAACAUGCUCCGCCGCUUGUGCGGGCCCCCGUCAAUUCCUUUGAGUUUUAGCCUUGCGGCCGUACUCCCCAGGCGGGGUGCUUAAUGCGUUAGCUUCGGCACGGAUAGAAUGAACUACCCACACCAAGUAUGCAUCGUUUAGGGCGUGGACUAC
Molecule: unclassified non-coding RNA, 374 nt
Filed under: uncultured Actinomycetes bacterium
Lineage: Bacteria; Bacillati; Actinomycetota; Actinomycetes
Description: uncultured actinobacterium contains 16S-23S intergenic spacer region
Source: RNAcentral